RNAcentral lists this ribosomal RNA (361 nucleotides) under uncultured rumen bacterium. RNAcentral's name for it is "bacterial SSU rRNA". It matches the Rfam family "Bacterial small subunit ribosomal RNA", at positions 19 to 363 of the family's 1533-position model. The record is from RNAcentral.
UUGGCUCAGGAUGAACGCUGGCGGCGUGCUUAACACAUGCAAGUCGAACGAGAAUCAUAUGAAGGAGAUUUCGGUCAACGGAAUAUGAGGACAGUGGCGGACGGGUGAGUAACGCGUGAGGAACCUGCCUUUCAGAGGGGGACAACAGUUGGAAACGACUGCUAAUACCGCAUAAUGCAUAGGUAUCGCAUGGUACCAAUGCCAAAGAUUUAUCGCUGAAAGAUGGCCUCGCGUCUGAUUAGCUAGUUGGUGAGGUAACGGCCCACCAAGGCGACGAUCAGUAGCCGGACUGAGAGGUUGAACGGCCACAUUGGGACUGAGAUACGGCCCAGACUCCUACGGGAGGCAGCAGUGGGGAAUA